RNAcentral lists this ribosomal RNA (253 nucleotides) under uncultured bacterium. Its description in RNAcentral is "partial 16S ribosomal RNA". It matches the Rfam family "Bacterial small subunit ribosomal RNA", at positions 524 to 776 of the family's 1533-position model. The record is from RNAcentral.
UACGAAGGGGGCUAGCGUUGUUCGGAAUUACUGGGCGUAAAGCGCACGUAGGCGGCUCUGUAAGUUGGGGUUGAAAUCCCGAGGCUCAACCUCGGAAUUGCCUUCAAGACUGCAGGGCUUGAGUUCGGGAGAGGUGAGUGGAAUUCCCAGAGUAGAGGUGAAAUUCGUAGAGAUUGGGAAGAACACCAGUUGCGACGUCGGCUCACUGGACCGUAACUGACGCUGAGGUGCGAAAUCGUGGCGAGCACACAGG